UACCCCAUUAAAUUGACAACACUAGUGAAACUGUUUACCUCAUGUAAAAAAUCGAAAUUGCCCUUAGGUAGAGAGGAUAAUAAUAUAUUUUUCUUCUAUCCUUAGGUGAUUGUUAUAUCGCUUAAAGUUAUUUUAGUUCUUUUCAAAUUUUUUUUUGAUAUAACAUUUGGAUUCUAUUUAAAGUUAAUGAUCGACUAACGUUCUAUUUAGAUUCUAAUGUUUUAUUCAUUCUUUAUUCAAUUUCCAAAUCAAGCAUUGAUCA
RNAcentral lists this long non-coding RNA (262 nucleotides) under Phoenix dactylifera (date palm). RNAcentral describes it as "long non-coding RNA (PDAC_LNC001565)". Lineage: Eukaryota; Viridiplantae; Streptophyta; Magnoliopsida; Arecales; Arecaceae. The record is from RNAcentral.